GGUUUGAUUAUGGCUCAGAUUGAACGCUGGCGGGAUGCUUUACACAUGCAAGUCGAACGGCGGCACGGACUUCGGUCUGGUGGCGAGUGGCGAACGGGUGAAGUAAUGUAUCGGAACGUGCUAGUAGCGGGGAUAACUACGCGGCGUAGCUAAUACCGCGCCACGCCCUUCGGGGAAAGCGGGGGACCUUCGAAGGCUCCGCCUAACCUGGGCGCCGGUGUCCGGAUUAAGCCAGGUUGGCAGUAACCCGGCUCCCACUAGGCGGCUGAUCGUAACAAUUUGAAGGGGACGACAGCCUGCUGGGACGGGUACAGCCCGGACUCUGCGGAGGAGCAGCAGUGGAAUUUGGUGUGGAAGCUGAACGGCCAUCCCGCAGUAAUGCGAGAGGCUCGGUUGCCAGCAUACACGGCAGAAAGAAACUGGCGGAUAAUACCCCGUGCAACGACGACACCUGCAAAUAAGCGCGGCUAACCGUGCCGUGGCCGCAGCCGGCAGUGCAAGCACAUCGGAGUACUGGCAGUAAAGCGAUACUUGCAGGCGGUUCGGAAAAAGAUGUAGAAAUCCCAGGAAUGCUUAUUUGGAACUGCAUUUUUAACUGCAGGCUAGAGUGUCAGAGGGAGGUGGAAUUCCGCGACAACAACGGUAAAAUGCGUAGAUAUGCGGAGAGGAACACCGAUGGCGAAGGCAGCCUCCUGGGAUAACACUGACGCUCAUGCACGAAAAGCGUGAGGCAAACGGGAUUAGAUACCCUGGUAGUCCACGCCCUAAACGAUGUCAACUAGCUGUUGGGGCCUUCGGGCCUUGGUAGCGCAGCUAACGCGUGAAGUUGACCGCCUGGGAGUACGGUCGCAAGAUUAAAACUCAAGGGAAUUGACGGGGACCCGCACAAGCGGUGGAUGAUGUGGAUUAAUUCGAUGCAGCAUGAAAAACCUUACCUACCCUUGACAUGUCUGGAAUCCCGAAGAGAUUUGGGAGUGCUCGCAAGAGAACCGGAACACAGGUGCUGCAUGGCUGUCGUCAGCUCGUGUCGUGAGAUGUUGGGUUAAGUCCCGCAACGAGCGCAACCCCUUGUCAUUAGUUGCUACGAAAGGGCACUCUAAUGAUUCCGGUGACAAACCGGAGGAAGGUGGGGAUGACGUCAAGUCCUCGCAGCCUUAUGGGUGUUGGGCUUCACACGUCAUACAAUGGUCGGGACAGAGGGUCGCCAGCGCAGGGGGAGCCAAUCCCGAAACCCGAUCGUAGUCCGGAUCGCAGUCUGCAACUCGACUGCACGUGAAGUCGGAAUCGCUAGUAAUCGCGGAUCAGCAUGUCACGGUGAAUACGUUCAGGUCUUGUACACACCGCCCGUCACACCAUGGGAGUGGGUUUUACCAGAAGUAGUUAGCUAUACCGUAAGGAGGGCGAUUACCAUUAGGAUUCAUGACUGGGGUGAAGUCGUAACAAAGGUAG
Molecule: ribosomal RNA, 1449 nt
Filed under: uncultured Bordetella sp.
Lineage: Bacteria; Pseudomonadati; Pseudomonadota; Betaproteobacteria; Burkholderiales; Alcaligenaceae
Description: partial 16S-23S ribosomal RNA intergenic spacer
Rfam family: Bacterial small subunit ribosomal RNA
Source: RNAcentral